GGUCCACGUAGAAUGCACCUGUCCUCCUCAAGAAGAUGAUGCUGUUGAUUAUGGGUAUUCUAUAAAAGGUUGGGGGUCGAAGAAACAGAGGACACGUUGAUGAACUCUGAGGAAAUAUGCCUCAAUCAAAAAAUCACAUUGAAACUGUUUCUCCUCGGUCGUUUCUGACCGGUUUCUUUUUGCAUUUGAUGCCAAGUUGACUAGGAUGGUUGCGGUUGAAGUCACUGGCAGGCCCCAGAUUUCCUUUUGCCUUGGAUGCGAGCUCUGUCUGAGAGAUGCAAAUUUUGCAGAAGGUUAUGAGCUGUAAGCAUCUCAAACUUCAUGGCAUACUGUGAACUGAAGACAAGGGCAGUCAAGCAAAUUUUGUGUGGAACCUAUAAAAAAAAUCCUUUGAUGAGCCCUCUACACUGAGGUAAACUUGAAGCUCCUUCUCUGCACAGUGAUGAAGUCACUUAGACCCAAGCUUGCUUAACCCUGCAUUACAAAUACAAGAUGAGACACAUUGUUUCCUUCAAGUUGGAGGAAAUGAUAAACCUUUCAAGUACUCAAAGAAUUGCCUUUUGGCAUGCUUGUCCUCAGGGCUACUCUAGUCAAUGCUAUAUUUAUAAUGAUUGUUUUCCUAAAUGUGAAAUUCCGGAGUGGUUUUGCCAUCAAAGUGGUUCUUUAUUGAGAAUCCAGCUAAUUCCAAAUCUUUAUACUAAUUCUGACUGGAUAGGAAUUGCUCUAUUUGCUACAUUCACAGUGCACAAGCAUCGAACUCUCAUUCUUGACAAUUCAGCUACAGAAAUUUCUCAUGGCUUUUCUUGUUCUUUGAGAAGUGACAUGGGCAACUGGACGGUGUCAAAUAAACAUUGCAUCACUGAGUCUGAACACAACAAAUUUAUUUGGUUAAAGCAAUGUAAGAUCAUGCAUGUACCUCAUGCUCGAUUUUCAGAUAAGUUGAAUUGUAGCAAUCUCUUAACUGCUUUAUUUGGUAGUGAUAGCCAAGACUUGAUGGUGCAGAACUGUGGUUACAUUCUUGUGUACCAGCAAAAUGUGGGAGAGUUGGUGCAAACAUUAGUCCAAUGCUCAACCAUGUUUUCUGAUAAUUCCGAUCUCAUCCAUCAAUUUACUGCUCAUCAAUCUAGAACAAAGCAGCAGAGCCAUGAUGAUGAUAAUGUUAAGAGGGAAACCAGUGGAACUGGUGGGUCUAGUGGGACAUUGAGAGGGCUUCAGGAAAAAAUAAAGCAGCAGAGCCAUGAUGAUGAUGAUGAAGAUGAGGGAGAAACCAGUGGAAUUGGCGGAUCUAAUGGGACAUUGAGAGUGCCACAUUAUCAGGAAAAAGUUUGUGUAACUUGCUAUCAAUAAUUCAUUGAUGCCAGAGGCCAACCCAUUAUUGUCAUUGUCGAGAACACUCUGAGGUACAGAAGUGUGGACUUCGUCUUGUGUACCUACAAGAUGAACAAGAGUUUUGGCAAAUUCUAUUCCACUUUAUGACAAUUGGGACAUCAUUCGUGAAGAUUUAGUGGAACACCGACCAUUAAAAUCAUCCUCAAAAGCAUCCUCAAAUCAAACAUUCUCUAUGAAUAAAUGUUUUCCUCAAAGUGAAAUUCCGGAAUGGUUUAGGCAUCAAAGUACAGGCCCUUCUCUGUCUAUCCAGCUACCUUCAAAUUUCAGUAAUGCUAGUACUUGGAUAGGACUAGUUUUAUGUGCUUCAUUUUCAGUCCAUGAGCAUCCAACUAUCACAAGUGAUAAUCUGGAUUCAGACAUUUCCCACCACCUUAUUUGUCAUUUGGCUGCUGAGAAAGGUAGCCUAGAAUCUCCCCUUCUCUAUCAAAUCACUGAAGAGAACUUCACGUGGUUAAAUAUACAGGGAUUCAUUUGGCUAGACUACAUACCUCGUGGGUCAUUGUCAGAUUUUUUUAAUCAGAGCAGUCAGAUUGAGGUUUCAAUUGGAAGCAACUUCCCAGAUUUGAUGGUGAAGAAGUGUGGGCAACGAACAUUUCUUAUACCAUCAAGAUGUGGAAGAGUUUGAGCAAACGAUCAUUAAGUGCUCUACUGUGCCUUUUUACAGUAUGGAACUCAUCCAUCAAUCAGUAGCUAGUGAUUCUCCAAAUGAUAAGCCAAAGAAUGAAGCUGGUUAUUCUUAAGAGGAUCCAAACCUUGGAAGGCUGAGAAGACCCAUUUACCCAGAGCAAAGCAGUAGAGAUAGCAUCUAUCUUGAAGAUCAACACCCUGAUAAUCAACUCAGCAAAAGUGAUUUACAGGAAUUUGAUUGAAGUUUGGUAUAUAAUUCUUGUUUUCCUCCAAGUGAAAUUCUUGAUGAUAGUACUUGGAGGGGACUUGCUCUAUGUGUUUCUUUCUCAGUCAACAUCAAGGAUCCUAUUGCCAUCCUAGACAUUCUUAAUUCAGAAAAUGCUCAUCAUCUUUAUUGUCAUUUGGAAAGCAAUGUUGGUUCUUUGGAACCUCUUCAUGCCUAUUGCCUUACUAAAGAUGAUGUCAUGUCGUUACAUCUAGGUGGAUUCAUGUGGCUAUCCUAUAUACUACGUAGCUCAUUUCCAGAUUGGUUGAAUCAAUGUAAUCACAUUGAGGCUUCAAUUGUUAGCGAUUGCCCAGACUUGACAAUGGUGAAGUGUGGAUUCCGUCUUGUACAUCAGCAUGAUGAGGAAGAGUUUAAGCAAACUACAAGGCACGGCCUAGCCUCAUUGUCUGACAAUUGGAGUCUCAUCCUUCAUUUGGCAGCUCACAGUAGAAAAAGAAAUAAGCAAAACCUCUCCAUGCUUAAAGAGAAAGGCAAGCAUGUGCUAGAAUAGCAUCUCCUCUUAUUGUUCUGCUGCUUUUCUUAGCGGUUCUCCCUUCUGUUCUCAAUUACAAGUCUAACUACUAGACACUCAUAAUCUCUGCUGCUUAGUUAACUCAAUAUUGGUCUCGAGUUUCUUAUUCCUUGGACUAAUGUGAGCACUGUCUUUAGGUUUUGCAUUAAUAGGAGGCAACAAAGGCAUUGUCACUAAUAGUGAGCUGUUAAAAAUAUGCUUUAAUUUUAUUGGAAGGAACGAUUAUAAAUGAACUCUUUGUUUGCACA
Molecule: long non-coding RNA, 3061 nt
Organism: Quercus lobata
Lineage: Eukaryota; Viridiplantae; Streptophyta; Magnoliopsida; Fagales; Fagaceae
Exons: 6
Source: RefSeq, a predicted model, not a curated record